AGGUCCAUAGCUCAAUUGGUAGAGUAUAUGUCUUACACACAUGUUGUUUCCGGUUCGAGUCCGGAUGGGCCUA
This 73-nucleotide transfer RNA is filed under the name Chaetophoropsis polyrhiza. Its description in RNAcentral is "tRNA-Val". It matches the Rfam family "tRNA". From Rfam's summary of the family: Transfer RNA (tRNA) molecules are approximately 80 nucleotides in length. Lineage: Eukaryota; Viridiplantae; Chlorophyta; Chlorophyceae; Chaetophorales; Chaetophoraceae. The record is from RNAcentral. RNAcentral also lists the same sequence under 1 other name.